GACGAACGCUGGCGGCGUGCUUAACACAUGCAAGUCGAACGGAAAGGCCCCUUUGGGGGUACUCGAGUGGCGAACGGGUGAGUAACACGUGAGUAACCUGCCCUUGACUUCGGGAUAACUUCAGGAAACUGGGGCUAAUACCGGAUAGGAAUCCUUGCUGCAUGGUGGGGGUUGGAAAGCUUCGGCGGUUUUGGAUGGACUCGCGGCUUAUCAGCUUGUUGGUGGGGUAGUGGCUUACCAAGGCUUUGACGGGUAGCCGGCCUGAGAGGGCGACCGGCCAAAUUGGGACUGAGAUACGGCCCAGACUCCUACGGGAGACAGGAGGGGGGAAUAUUGCAAAAGGGGCGGAAGCCUGAUGCAGCAACGCCGCGGGGGGGAUGACGGCCUUCGGGUUGUAAACCGCUUUCAGCAGGGGCGAAGCUUUUGUGACGGUACCUGCAAAAGAAGCACCGGCUAACUACGU
RNAcentral lists this ribosomal RNA (463 nucleotides) under uncultured bacterium. Its description in RNAcentral is "partial 16S ribosomal RNA". It matches the Rfam family "Bacterial small subunit ribosomal RNA", at positions 28 to 506 of the family's 1533-position model. The record is from RNAcentral.